AUGAAGACAUGCAAAGCACAGGCUAACACAAAGGACCUAAUGUCCAUUGCAGGUAGGAAAGUGCCUGGAAUAAAUCUGGAUCAUAAGAUUUUUUUGUUUUGUUUUUGUUUUCUUUUUUUGGCGGUACGCGGGCCUCUCACUGCUGUGUCCUCUCCCGUUGCGGAGCACAGGCUCCGGACGCGCAGGCUCAGCGGCCAUGGCUCACGGGCCCAGCCGCUCCAUGGCAUGUGGGAUCUUCCCGGACCGGGGCACGAACCCGUGUCCCCUGCAUCGGCAGGGGGACUCUCAACCACUGCGCCACCAGGGAAGCCCCGGAUCAUAAGAUUUUGUGUCUGUGUUUUAUAUCCUGUUUCUAUUCCUUUCCUUCUCGCUUCACCAUUUUACAUUCUCUUCCUGCCCUUAUGUACAACUGCAAUUUUUCAUAUGUUAUACUUUGAAUGGUAUCCAGUUUAAAAAUUUCAUGCAUCUUGCCCUUUGGCUUUUAUUCCAUGGUAUCCCAUCUAUUUCUGACUUGUCUCUCCUGAGAGAUUUUGCUUUGAGAGCACUUAGAAUGCAGUUCAUUUUGUCAAAGACAAGACUGACAGUCUCAGAGUCUUCUUAAUGACCAUAAAAAUGACUAAAAAUUUCUGGCGUGAAGUAAAAAUUUCCUGUUCAGCUCUAUUUCUGCAUCAGCCACAUAUUCUGAUCCAACAAUUGCAAAUUUGUUAUAUUCCUCCAUGUACUUAAAGAGCCCCACAAUUUACAGAGUUUCUGUAGGAAAAGGGAGGCUCUUCAGUGAAGCAGGAAGAGUGAGAACUCUAUUUUUAAUAUGUUUGCGCAUCAGAAUUCUUUUUCAAGUCACUUUAGAAUGAACACGAGCCGAUUCUCUAUUUUAACUCCACCCUCAAGCACUUCCAGAUGAUUUUUUAAUUGCCUUUUUUCCCCACUAGGUAAAAGUCAAUUUUGAUACAAUAAGUCCCCUCUAUACGAACCUUCAAGUUGCGAACUUUCAAAGAUGCGAACGUGUGUUCGCAUGUCCAGCCACGUAGGUUAGUUCACGUGUCUCGUGUACGUUGUCACCUGUGUGUGUGCGCUACAAGUGGUUGUGCUUUUGUGUACUUUACAGGACUGUAUAGAGUACAGUAGCACAGUAUCUUUAUUUCAAGCCCAGGCUGUAUGGAAGCAAGUGUAAAAACAGCGGUGAUGUAGCUGGUACUUUUCAAGGUACUGUACUGUAACAUUAAAAAUGUUUUUUAAAUUUUUUUUGUGCCUGUUUAUUAUGUAUUUUUUUGUGUGAAAAGUAUUAUAAACCUAUUACAGUCCAGUACUAUAUAGCCGAUUGUGUUAGUUGGGUACCUAGGCUAACUUUGUUGGACUUACGAACAAAUUGGAUUUACAAACGUGCUCUGGGAACGGAACUCGUUCCUACAUAGGGGACUUGCUGUAUUUCAGAACCAAGCUGCUUUGUGGAGAUGCAUAAACUCACUGUUACUUCAUUGGAUAUGCCUGAAUUCACUGAAUGAAUUUGGUCAUUUUUCUUUCUUUUUUUUUCCCUUUCAGGUUCAUGGGCCAAUUUCAUUUUAUUGUAAGUUGGAAUGUGGGGCAGCGGAUUAAGCAGAUAGGAGGGACUCAGAACCAGAAUUCUAGCUUUCCCCGCCCUUGUUGCACGUCUCCCUCUGUCUCUUGUCUUCUCACCUGGAGGAAGUGGGUGCUAGGACUGUCUUCCUGGAUGAGGAAAGGAAACGUAAUAUGAUCACUUAAAACAUAAGGAAACAUUGUCUCUUCUUUAAAAAGUGGUCUAAAGAAAUAAGUUCAUGCAUUGGGGUGCCACUUGGUGCAGAAAAACGUCUCUGUAUUCGGUUCCAAAUUUGUUUUAUCAUCUUAAGACAUUAGAAAGGCAGUUCUAGCCUAUGAUGUUCAUUCACUAAUUCGGUUAAUUCAGUCUAACAAAUAUUUAUUGGAUGUAUCUUGAAAAAAUAGAAACUGAAGGCAAGGGCUAAACUGGAAAC
Molecule: long non-coding RNA, 1988 nt
Filed under: Delphinapterus leucas (beluga whale)
Lineage: Eukaryota; Metazoa; Chordata; Mammalia; Artiodactyla; Monodontidae
Description: lncRNA (ENSDLEG00000003529.1)
Source: RNAcentral